This 1159-nucleotide ribosomal RNA is filed under the name Staphylococcus aureus. RNAcentral's name for it is "partial 23S ribosomal RNA". It matches the Rfam family "Bacterial large subunit ribosomal RNA", at positions 296 to 1461 of the family's 2925-position model. The record is from RNAcentral. Lineage: Bacteria; Bacillati; Bacillota; Bacilli; Caryophanales; Staphylococcaceae.
GUAGGACACUCUAUACGGAGUUACAAAGGACGACAUUAGACGAAUCAUCUGGAAAGAUGAAUCAAAGAAGGUAAUAAUCCUGUAGUCGAAAAUGUUGUCUCUCUUGAGUGGAUCCUGAGUACGACGGAGCACGUGAAAUUCCGUCGGAAUCUGGGAGGACCAUCUCCUAAGGCUAAAUACUCUCUAGUGACCGAUAGUGAACCAGUACCGUGAGGGAAAGGUGAAAAGCACCCCGGAAGGGGAGUGAAAUAGAACCUGAAACCGUGUGCUUACAAGUAGUCAGAGCCCGUUAAUGGGUGAUGGCGUGCCUUUUGUAGAAUGAACCGGCGAGUUACGAUUUGAUGCAAGGUUAAGCAGUAAAUGUGGAGCCGUAGCGAAAGCGAGUCUGAAUAGGGCGUUUAGUAUUUGGUCGUAGACCCGAAACCAGGUGAUCUACCCUUGGUCAGGUUGAAGUUCAGGUAACACUGAAUGGAGGACCGAACCGACUUACGUUGAAAAGUGAGCGGAUGAACUGAGGGUAGCGGAGAAAUUCCAAUCGAACCUGGAGAUAGCUGGUUCUCUCCGAAAUAGCUUUAGGGCUAGCCUCAAGUGAUGAUUAUUGGAGGUAGAGCACUGUUUGGACGAGGGGCCCCUCUCGGGUUACCGAAUUCAGACAAACUCCGAAUGCCAAUUAAUUUAACUUGGGAGUCAGAACAUGGGUGAUAAGGUCCGUGUUCGAAAGGGAAACAGCCCAGACCACCAGCUAAGGUCCCAAAAUAUAUGUUAAGUGGAAAAGGAUGUGGCGUUGCCCAGACAACUAGGAUGUUGGCUUAGAAGCAGCCAUCAUUUAAAGAGUGCGUAAUAGCUCACUAGUCGAGUGACACUGCGCCGAAAAUGUACCGGGGCUAAACAUAUUACCGAAGCUGUGGAUUGUCCUUUGGACAAUGGUAGGAGAGCGUUCUAAGGGCGUUGAAGCAUGAUCGUAAGGACAUGUGGAGCGCUUAGAAGUGAGAAUGCCGGUGUGAGUAGCGAAAGACGGGUGAGAAUCCCGUCCACCGAUUGACUAAGGUUUCCAGAGGAAGGCUCGUCCGCUCUGGGUUAGUCGGGUCCUAAGCUGAGGCCGACAGGCGUAGGCGAUGGAUAACAGGUUGAUAUUCCUGUACCACCUAUAAUCGUUUUA